AACGAACGCUGGCGGCAGGCUUAACACAUGCAAGUCGAACGCCCCGCAAGGGGAGUGGCAGACGGGUGAGUAACGCGUGGGAAUCUACCCAGUUCUACGGAACAACACAGGGAAACUUGUGCUAAUACCGUAUACGCCCCAAGGGGGAAAGAUUUAUCGGAAUUGGAUGAGCCCGCGUUGGAUUAGCUAGUUGGUGAGGUAACGGCUCACCAAGGCGACGAUCCAUAGCUGGUCUGAGAGGAUGAUCAGCCACACUGGGACUGAGACACGGUCCAAACUCGAAAGAGGCAGCAGUGAGGAAUUUUGGACAAUGAGCGAAAGCUUGAUCCAGCAAUACUACGUGAGUGAAUUGAAGCAUUUUGGCGUGUAAAACUCUUUAAUUAAGGAAGAUAAUGACGGUACUUAAUC
This 408-nucleotide ribosomal RNA is filed under the name uncultured bacterium. RNAcentral describes it as "bacterial SSU rRNA". It matches the Rfam family "Bacterial small subunit ribosomal RNA", at positions 29 to 484 of the family's 1533-position model. The record is from RNAcentral.